GCAAGACAAGGGCAGGGAGAAAUCUGGUCAUGUGAGGGCAAGCAACUAAUGUUCAGUGCUUUGUUUUGUAAAGAAAAGCCAAUCAUUUUUAGAUACUGGGUUUUAAAGGUACUAAAUAUUUACUUUUUUGGUGCACAGCACUAUGUUAAUAUUUCUCAUUUCUCCCUCAAGGCUGGAGAUGUAAACGUUAUGGACACAGAACGGGAGACAAAGAAUGCCCAUUCUUUAUUAAAGGCAAGCAGAAGCUAGAACAAUUCAGAGUAGCACACGAAGACCCCAUGUAUGAUAUUAUAAGGGAAAAUAAACGCCAUGAGAAGGAAAUGCGGAUACAACAGUUGAAGCAGCUGCUAGAGGAUUCCACUUCGGAUGAAGAAGGCAGUAGUAGCAGCAGCAGCAGCUCCAGCUCUUCAGGAUAUAAAGGAAAACACAAGAGAAAGAGGAA
This is a non-coding RNA of Podarcis muralis (Common wall lizard), 442 nucleotides long. The record is from RefSeq and is a predicted model, not a curated record. Lineage: Eukaryota; Metazoa; Chordata; Lepidosauria; Squamata; Lacertidae.